This 74-nucleotide transfer RNA is filed under the name Terriglobia bacterium. RNAcentral describes it as "tRNA-Gly". It matches the Rfam family "tRNA". Rfam says of the family: Transfer RNA (tRNA) molecules are approximately 80 nucleotides in length. Their secondary structure includes four short double-helical elements and three loops (D, anti-codon, and T loops). The record is from RNAcentral. Lineage: Bacteria; Pseudomonadati; Acidobacteriota; Terriglobia.
GCGGGGUUGGUAUAUCGGUCGUGCCCAGGCUUCCCAAGCCUGUGAAACGGGUUCGACUCCCGUACCCCGCUCCA